GCCGGCGCCCCAGCUCCACUCUGGGAUCCCAAACCAGGCCUGUCCCAAGUCCUCCAGGGACCCGCCAGCCCGCGGCCCCUUACCUUGGCCUGGCAUUUCCGAUGACAGGAGAAGCUGCAGACUGCAAGAGGGCGAGACACAGAAAGAAAGUUUUAGCCGCGAGGUCCUACCGGUGGGGUGAGGGGUCUGCUGAGCUGAUUUCUGCACCUACUUGGAUCUUGUUGGCUGCCCAGGACCUACUGAGGCAGAGCCAUGGACCGCUCUCGAGUGCAGACUGAUCACAUCAGGGCCCUGCAUGGGACUCCCGUCCAGCUCCUCAGCACGUCUCAUAAGGCCCUGCACAGCCUGGUCUAGCCUCCAGCUCCAGCCGACGCUGCGAAAGAGAUCGCUGUUCCUGCCAUGCCAAACUCCCCAACCAGACCCUUGAGUCUGCAAGGAGCCGAGGCCCUGCUCAACAUGUCCCCCCCUGGGUGAUCAGGUGUUCAAAGAUGGUCCCUCCCUUUCUAUCCUCCCAGAACCCCCAGCUCACAGCCUUUGGAAAGCUCUUGUCACCUUGGAGGAUUAAGUAUUCCUUCAGGAAUUGCUCUCCUCACCACCCCCACAUCCAGCUGCUUCUCUGGGGCAAAAAGGGAGGUUCUGUUCAACAUUGCAGCUUUGUCUCCUGCCCCUUCCCUAGCGCAGCGCCAGGCAUACAGAUGGGGCUCAACUAAUGUGAAGGAAAUUUCACAUCAGAAGAAUUCUCUCCAGUCUAAACCCCUGGGACAAGGGGCAAUGUUCUGGGGCAACGGAACAACAGAAGUGAGGGUGGGUGAGCCCCACUCUUCGGCUCCAGCCCCCGCUGGGAGAGGGCAAGUAGGGACCCUGGGAGUCAGUCAGUGCUUCCCAAGCUGCUUCGGUGCUACCACCACCAGUGACUAAGCCAGGUAAGGUGGGUGGUGUGGGGUGGGGGCUGAGGGAGUUAAGCGAACCUUCACCCGCUCAUCCUCUGGUCCUGCUAUUUGUCUACACGCUCACCACCUGGCGGCAUCCAGAGUGGCUCUCAGCUCCAAUGCAGAUCAUGCACUUGCUGUGUGAUCUAGGGCAGCUCACUUAACCACUCUGAGCCUCUACUUCCUCAUCUGUAAGAUGGGGGCGAUAAUAGCAUCUCCCUUACGGGCUGCUGUGAGGAUUAAACAAGCCCUAGCAUUUAUGCUCGGCACAGAGUAUGCCCCAUAGAAGGGUACGCUGCCAUCAGUGGCAUCUUCAUCGCUUUGUCUUCACUGUCAUUGUGAAGAAGAGGCUCCAUCUCCUAGACAAGAGACCUCAGUUCUAGUCCUGAGUGCUGUCAUAGAGCUGUGUGACCUGAAGCAAGUCACUGCCCAUCUCUGGGUCUCAGACUCCUGCCCCCUGACUGGCAGCUUCCAGGGUGAAUUGGGCCCACACCCUUGCCUUCGUUAGAGAGCUAAGUGUUUAAAACACCAAGACUUGUUUGCCUAAUUGGAAUGCAGUGGGCAGAGCAGCUCUCCCCAGAUGCUGGGAUUUCUACCAUGUCCUGCUGGUCCACACUCAAUCACCUGCCCCAACCCUGAAGGCCCUGCCAUUUGUGCCCCUGGAACAGGUGGUCUCCAAGCUCUUCCAGCUGUGAGAGCCUGGUCGGAAAAUGAGCACAUAGCCUCCGAGUGCACCUGACCCAGCAAUGACCACGCACAUGCCCUGUCCAGCCUCCGCUCCUGCCCCGGCUGGCAGAGCCACAGGCCUGGCCGCGCACCUGCUCACCGGCCACUCAGCCCUGCCCCGCCUGUUCACCUCCAGGGCCCGGGCUGGAAGUGUGUGGUGGUUAAUCUCAUGAGUCAACUUGUCUAGGCCAUGAGACCCAGAUAUUUGGUCAAACAGUAUUCUAGAUGUUUCUGAGAAGGUAUUUUUUUAAUGAGAUUCACGUUUAAGUCAGUAAACUCUGUGUAAAGCACAUUACCCUCCAUAAUGUGGGUGGGUCUCAUCCAGUGAGUUGAAAGACUUAAUAGAGAAGACUGACCUCCCUAAGCAAGAACGAAUUCUGCCAACACACUGCUUCUGGACUUGAACACUACUCUUCCCUGGGUCUCCAGCCCGACAGCCAACCCUGCAGAUUUUGGGUUUUGCAAAUCUCCACAAUCACAUGAGCAAAUCCCUUAAAAUAAAUCUCUGCCUAUCUAUCUCUAUGCACAUCCUGUCGAUUCUGCUCCUCUGGAGAACCCUGACUAAUGUCUCAGAGGGUGGUCAGGGGCUGA
Molecule: long non-coding RNA, 2246 nt
Organism: Lemur catta (Ring-tailed lemur)
Lineage: Eukaryota; Metazoa; Chordata; Mammalia; Primates; Lemuridae
Exons: 4
Source: RefSeq, a predicted model, not a curated record